UACGGAGGGUGCAAGCGUUAUCCGGAUUCACUGGGUUUAAAGGGUGCGUAGGCGGGCAGGUAAGUCAGUGGUGAAAUCCUAGAGCUUAACUCUAGGACUGCCAUUGAUACUAUCUGUCUUGAAUAUUGUGGAGGUAAGCGGAAUAUGUCAUGUAGCGGUGAAAUGCUUAGAUAUGACAUAGAACACCUAUUGCGAAGGCAGCUUACUACGCAUAUAUUGACGCUGAGGCACGAAAGCGUGGGGAUCAAACAGG
Molecule: ribosomal RNA, 253 nt
Filed under: uncultured bacterium
Lineage: Bacteria
Description: partial 16S ribosomal RNA
Rfam family: Bacterial small subunit ribosomal RNA
Source: RNAcentral